RNAcentral lists this ribosomal RNA (1437 nucleotides) under uncultured Bordetella sp. RNAcentral's name for it is "partial 16S-23S ribosomal RNA intergenic spacer". It matches the Rfam family "Bacterial small subunit ribosomal RNA". Lineage: Bacteria; Pseudomonadati; Pseudomonadota; Betaproteobacteria; Burkholderiales; Alcaligenaceae. The record is from RNAcentral.
GGUUCUCUGGCUCAGAUUGAACGCUGGCGAUGCUUUUCGGACACAUGUAAGUCGAACGGCAGCACGGACUUCGGUCUGCGGCGAGGGCGAACGGGUGAGUAAUGUAUCGGAACGUGCCUAGUAGCGGGGAUAACUACGCGAAAGGUAGGCUAAUACGCAUACGCUCCCCGGGGAAAGCGGGGAUCUUUUCGCCUCGCACUAGAGCGGCCGAUAUCGGAUUAGCUAGUUGGUGGGGUAAUUUUGCUCACCAAGGCGACGAUCCGUAGCUGGUUUGAGAGGACGACCAGCCACACUGACCGAGACACGGCCCAGACUGCCACGGGAGGCAGCAGUGGGGAAUUUGGACAAUGGGGAAACCCUGAUCCAGCCAUCCCGCGUGUGCGAUGAAGGCCUUCGGGUUGUAAAGCACUUUGGCAGUGGAAAGAAACGGCACGGGAUAAUACCCCGUGCAACGACGGUACCUGCAGAAUAAGCACCGGCCAUAACUACGCCAGCAGCCGCAGUAAUACGUAGGGGCGCAAGCGUUAACGGGAACACUGGGGCGUAAAGCGUGCGCAGGGCGGUUCGGAAAGAAAGAUGUGAAAUCCCAGAGCUUAACUUUGAACCAGGCAUUUUUUAACUACCGAGCUAGAGUGUGUCAGAGGGAGGUGGAAUUCGUGUAGCAGUGAAAUGCGUAGAUAUGCGAUGAACACCGAUGGCGAAGGCAGCCUCCUGGGAUAACACUGACGCUCAUGCACGAAAGCGUGGGAGCAAACAGGAUUAGAUACCCUGGUAGUCCACGCCCUAAACAUGUCAACUAGCUGUUGGGGCCUUCGGGCCUUAAAGGUGCUGACCGCAGAAGUUGACCGCCUGGGGAGCACGGUCAGCAAAGAUUAAAACUCACAAAGGAAUUCGACGGGGACCACAAGCGGUGAUGAUGGAUUAAUUUUGAUGCAACGCGAAAACCUGACUACCCUGACAUGUCUGAACCUGAAGAGAUUUGGGAGUGUCGCAAGAGAACUGAACACAGUGUGCUUAAGCGCCGUCGUCGCCGCCGUGGAGAUGCGGCUGUCCCACCGAGCAACCCUCGUCAUUAGCUUUCGUUACGAAAGGGCACCCCACGAGACCGUUGCGACAACCGGCAGCUGUGAUGACGUCAAGUCUGGUGGCCUUGCGGGUAGGGGCUCACACGUCACAAUGGCCGGGACAGAGGGUCGCCAACCCAGAGGGCGCGCCAACGUGAAACCCGAUCGCAGUCCGGAUCGCAGUCUGCAACUCGACUGCGUGAAGUCGGAAUCGCUAGUAAUCGCGGAUCAGCAUGUCGCGGUGAAUACGUUCCCGGGUCUUGUACACACCGCCCGUCACACCAUGGGAGGGGGUUUACCAGAAGUAGUUAGCCUAACCGCAAGGAGUGGCGAUUACCACGGUAGGAUCUAUGACUGCGGAAUAACAACCCCA